GAAAAGCCCUCCCAGCCCAUGGAUCCCCCCCUGUGCCCCAUCCCCACCUUGUCCCCCAGCCCAGAGCACUGAGUGCCACGGCCAGGCCUUCCUGGGACACCUCCAGGGCUGGGCACUCCAAACCUCCCUGGGCAGCCCCUGCCAAGGCCUCACCACCCUUUCCAUGGAGAAAUUCCUCCUGAUGAAGAAACUCUUCCACACGAGUGAACUGCCCCAGGAAAUGCCGACCAGCUGCGACCAUUUUCUGCCCAUGGAGCGCCUGGUCUGAAGGGCUGCUCUGGCCUCUUCCUCCAUCAUUUCUCACUGCUUUCACCUGCCACAAAGAUUCCUCCUCGGCCCUUGCCUGCCUCGUUUGCCUUUGCUGGUGUCCUGGCUGCAGCCCUGGAAGCUCCACAGUCUGGGGAAAACGUGUUUCCAAGUAUUGAUCCUUAAAUAGGAAAAGAACAAACCAUAAACCAGGAACUCGAUAUCCAUGGAAACAUGGGAGCUCCAGCUCCCGCGACUCCCCCAACACAACAGGAAUUAUUGUGCUGUCAUUCUUCCAACUUCAGCCUCAACGGUGGGAAGGGACCCCUUGGCUCCUCUGCCUGAUUGUUACCUGUCAUUUAUGGUUAAAUAAUAUUGUCAAAAGACUAGCACUGACUGAAAUUUUAUGUUCCCAUUUCAGAGAUAAUACCUGCCACAUACUGCUGUAUUAAGUGUUAUUUGAGGUUUAGGAUUAGAUAGAUAGACAGAUAAAUA
Molecule: long non-coding RNA, 741 nt
Organism: Pseudopipra pipra
Lineage: Eukaryota; Metazoa; Chordata; Aves; Passeriformes; Pipridae
Exons: 2
Source: RefSeq, a predicted model, not a curated record